Long non-coding RNA from Sarcophilus harrisii (Tasmanian devil), 1576 nucleotides. The record is from Ensembl. Lineage: Eukaryota; Metazoa; Chordata; Mammalia; Dasyuromorphia; Dasyuridae.
AGUGGGUCGAUCAGCUGAAAGAGUGAGCCUGGGCUGCCACAGUAUUCCAGAUACAGCCUAGACUGCAUAUCUAACAAGAGAGCUGAGACUUCACCCUAACCCUCUAGAGACAUGUUUGAGAGUCCCAGACAUAACACAUGGGACUUUCAAUCAAACACACUUUGAUGUUAAUAGCGCCAGUGCCCUUGCAUUAUUCUAGAGAUCAGAUUGUUUGAGCUGAAAAAUAGACAUAGACUUUUUUCUACGCAUUGUCAUGGGACUCAUAGCACUUUGCAUCUGUCUUUCUUUGAUACUUUGAUGAAUCUGUGAUUUCAGUAGUUGUGGGUACCCCCUCCACCAGUACAGAUUACAAUCCCUUCUUAUCUAGUGUGAUAUUGGUCUCUGGUUUUUUCCCAUAAAUCCUUCAUGGGGGAUCCCCAGCAUACCAUAGAGCUUACUCGAUUUUUCUUUUAAUAUCUCAGGGCUACACUGGUAGUUUGUAGACACUUUAUCUGCAGAACCAAUCCAUCUCUUUUUACAGCCAAACACAUCCUCACUGUUGCUUCUAACACGUUGGGCUUCAUUUAUCAUACGGAGCCUCUCUAGAUUGGGUUUACGUUGCCCUUUGGAUUACUUAAAAAAAAAAAAAAAAAAAAAAGAACUCACAAAGAAUACAAUUAUACACAACUGGAUUAUCUUCUUAUUGUUUGUGCUUAAUAAGAACUUGAUAAAGUUGCCCUUUGGAUUACUUAAAAAAAAAAAAAAGAACUAGCAAAGAAUACAAUUAUACACAACUGUAUUAUCUUCUUAGUUUCUGUGCUGCUAUAGCUCUUGGAUAGUAUUCUUUUAUCAAGUUUUAUCAAGUGUGCUUAAUAAAAACUUGAUAAAAGAAUACUUCUGUGCUAGUGGCUAAGAAUAGAAAGAUAAAAUCUAGACAGCCCCUUUUCUUCAGGAGCUUGUGUUCUUUUAAGGGAGACAAUGUAUACAUAAACAGGUAUAUUUAGAAACAAUACCAAAUAAAUGGCAGGUAAUUAAAUAGAACAUCAUUAGUGUAGGAGGGCGUUUGAACUGUUUGGAUGAUAUCUACCCCAUCAGGGACCAAGGCUUAUUUCCCUUUGUAUAACAGCUGACAUUUAUUUUGUGUCUUAAAGUUGGCAAAGCCAUUUUCUAUAUGUUCUCUCAUUUGAUUCUCACAAUAGCCCUAGGAAGUAGGGACUAAUGUUUUUCCCAUUUUCCAGUUGAGGUGACCAAGAUCGAGACGGGUUCUAUGACUUAGUCAGGGUCACACGGCUAGCGUCCCUCAAGGUUUUCUGACUCCAGGUCCGACCCUCAAUCUGCUGUGGCACCCCUGUUGCCCUUUGUAUCCCAUGCCAGUGCCUAGCACGAUGCUUUGGGCACGGUAGGUGCUUCAGAAAUGGUUAUUGAAUGAAUAAAAGGAUGAAAGGAUUGUGACUUUGGGUAACGGGAAUGGUCCCCAUUAUUGAGUGUCAGUCUAUUACCCAUUAAACAAUGUGUCCUUUAAAGCAAGUUAACAUUUGAGCAUUCUUCCCCAGAAUAUUCCAGCCUAUUUGCCAACUGAGAAGAGAGCUGUUGAAUC